This 158-nucleotide ribosomal RNA is filed under the name Bacillus sp. (in: firmicutes). RNAcentral describes it as "partial 16S ribosomal RNA". It matches the Rfam family "Bacterial small subunit ribosomal RNA", at positions 60 to 214 of the family's 1533-position model. The record is from RNAcentral. Lineage: Bacteria; Bacillati; Bacillota; Bacilli; Caryophanales; Bacillaceae.
AAUCGAGCGGACAGAUGGGAGCUUGCUCCCUGAUGUUAGCGGCGGACGGGUGAGUAACACGUGGGUAACCUGCCUGUAAGACUGGGAUAACUCCGGGAAACCGGGGCUAAUACCGGAUGCUUGAUUGAACCGCAUGGUUCAAUUAUAAAAGGUGGCUU